UAAUCGUGCAAACUAUGACUGUUAGUUAACUGUGUGAACCAAAACCCUGUUUUAGGAGUGUAAGUGGCCACUAGAGGCCGUUAGAGGUACUGCGUCCAAGUGUCAGGUCAUUCAUGUGCCAGGGGUUGAGGCUGUGAGCCCAGGAACCUGUAUAUUCGAUGGGUAUACACUGAUUGAUGAUUUCCAUAGAAGAAGGACACGUGUGAGCAAAGAGACCCUCACGCCAAUUAGAAGCAGCAAGUCAACCUUGCACCCUUUGGCUAGCGGAGCGAGUGUAAAAGAAUGGGAGGAUACCUGGAAGCCUGCUGUUAAUAUGUCUGUGCCUAGCUGCCUGGUUAUUGUUUUAAGAGUUCCCAAUUCUGUAUUUGUUAUUGAUAUACACUGUAUACAUUUUAUGAGCUUGUUGAGAUACUGUUACAGCCACUGUCUUUUUCUCUGUUCAUGUUUUGUUUGUUAUCGACUUACAUUUACAUUUAGUCACUUCCUGGGUUCUGGGCAUCGAUUGUGGUUCAACUUUGCUGCCUCCAUAACACUUAACUUACAACAUGGGUGAGUUGGUGACCUAGCUAACGUUUUUCAGGUUUUUGUUUUAGAUUCACAGUUGGGUAAGGGAGCGCGCUGGCUCCACCUUCCCAUUGCGGGGAGGGCCAGCAGCUACCAGGUUUUGGUUUUAUUUUCACUAACUCAGUCUUGUUUUUCUGUUCCAUAAACUUUGGUAUUAUUGUUAUAAACAUUGACUUGCAUUGUUGGACUCACUUAUGUAAGCCUACAAGCAACCGUCUGAUCCUUUGCUUGGUGGAGGUAAGAGUAGACUAUGAAGAGAAGACUUAGAUUAAAACUCAGGCCAUUACAAGUGGAUGUAAAUUUUUUAUCUUAUUAACACCACAUUGCAUACAAUGUUAAAUGAUGGAUUCCUUGUGGCUGAAUAUGAAUAAUCUGUUCUGGGAUUGCGGCACAAUGAAGUCGCAUUCAGAAUAAUCCAUGCCUUUAUAAAGGUGAUGGCAUGAAGGUAGGCUAUAUGAAUUAUAAAUAAUAUAUAUUUUCAUUUUUUGCGUGUUAAGGGUUAGCGUGGUAAGACUUAUACAAGUUUUUAAAGUAAUUAAAUAUGUCAUUAUGAAAUGUGCGCUACACUUAACUAAAAUGAUAUCCAUAGUGAACUUACGUGGACUACAAAUAUGGCGCAUAUUAGCGUUAAAACAUUGGCGGGGUUCUGGGAAAUGUAGUUCUUUUUUACUUAAAAUAAAAUAAAAAUUGAGAAUAUUUUUGUCCUGUUACAUUUAAAUUCUUAAUAUGACAAAUAUACAUUUAUUGGUCUUUUAUGAAAGACAAAAUGUAGCAGUGCUCGAAAAGUCAACAGUUAAAUGUCUUUAUACGUAACCUUUACUUAACAUUAUUUUAUAUCGUAAUCUUCGAACAUGGUUCCAGUAUAAUGUGAAAAGGUUCCAAAUACAAAAUCCCAGGCUGUUCCUAGCUUCAGCUGAAAAAGAAAAUGUAAACUUAAGGAAAUUACAUUUUCUAGGUGGCGCUGUUGAUCCCCUGUAGGGGCUAGGGUUAUGAAACUGAAAGACACAGUUUAUCUAACCCCAGUUAUUCACUGAACCAAGCCAGGACUAUGUGCCAUGAAAGGAACCCUAACCCUAAGUACCUUAAUUAGGGUUACUAAAUAUAGGGCUUUAAGGUGACCCCUGGCAAGGGUUCAAAGGUCAAUAUAUCAGAUAAGUGUUUACAGGGAUGUGUCAAACUUACAUAAGUGAACCUGCAACCUAAGACCUUUCCAAAAAUGGGUUUAAUUUUGUUGUACGACAAAGUCUUUUUUAAAUCAAAAUCUUCCAUUGCAGUGAGGUAUCUUUCCAAGUACAGAUUCCAAGACCAUUCAUAAUUUAAAUGGACUACAUCAGUGGUCGAAGUCAAAUUAUGUUUCGGUGGCACAUAGUCCUGGGGGGUGUUCCAUCAACGUCGAUUAAGGGAAAGCGAGACUUAUUUCGCCAAGUCUCACUAAC
Long non-coding RNA from Hypomesus transpacificus, 2000 nucleotides. RefSeq lists it as uncharacterized. The transcript has 3 exons. The record is from RefSeq and is a predicted model, not a curated record. Lineage: Eukaryota; Metazoa; Chordata; Actinopteri; Osmeriformes; Osmeridae.